GAAUUCGCCCUUAGAGUUUGAUCCUGGCUCAGGAUGAACGCUAGCGGCAGGCCUAACACAUGCAAGUCGAGGGGUAACAGGGGAGCUUGCUCCCGCUGACGACCGGCGCACGGGUGCGUAACGCGUAUACAAUCUACCUUGUACUGAGGGAUAGCCCAGAGAAAUUUGGAUUAAUACCUCAUAGUAUCAUAUUGCGGCAUCGUAUUUAUGAUUAAAGGUUACGGUACAAGAUGAGUAUGCGUCCUAUUAGUUUGUUGGUAAGGUAACGGCUUACCAAGACUACGAUAGGUAGGGGCCCUGAGAGGGGGAUCCCCCACACUGGUACUGAGACACGGACCAGACUCCUACGGGAGGCAGCAGUGAGGAAUAUUGGACAAUGGAGGAGACUCUGAUCCAGCCAUGCCGCGUGCAGGAAGACGGCCCUAUGGGUUGUAAACUGCCUUUAUACAGGAAGAAACAGUCCCUCGUGAGGGAUCUUGACGGUACUGUAAGAAUAAGGACCGGCUAACUCCGUGCCAGCAGCCGCGGUAAUAAGGGCG
RNAcentral lists this ribosomal RNA (539 nucleotides) under uncultured bacterium. RNAcentral describes it as "bacterial SSU rRNA". It matches the Rfam family "Bacterial small subunit ribosomal RNA", at positions 1 to 531 of the family's 1533-position model. The record is from RNAcentral.